Molecule: long non-coding RNA, 623 nt
Organism: Xiphophorus couchianus (Monterrey platyfish)
Lineage: Eukaryota; Metazoa; Chordata; Actinopteri; Cyprinodontiformes; Poeciliidae
Exons: 2
Source: RefSeq, a predicted model, not a curated record
ACCCGAACACGUCAGCCACCAACUCGUCUGCAGUAUUCAACACUUGGUCAUCCACUUCUGCAGAGCAUCCAGACCCUGUUUCAAGGACUUAGUACAAUCUUUACAUCUGCUCCGGAACUGGAUGAGACCUCUGUGACCUCUACAUCAUGUGACAGUGUGGUGUGUCACCAGCCGGUUGCAUGUACAAGGCCGCACAUGAGUUUAGGGGGGAAACCUGUAACCCGCAAUUAGUAAAGGACUUUUAUUUUUGCGGGCCCACUUCCUGUGUUGCCCAAACUCUGCUAACUUAUUUAAAGCCCCGCCUCCAGUGCGCAGAAAAAGAUCCUCACCUGUUCCACUGUGAUUGUGGCUUGCUGUUGGCAUCUUCCUCAAGAAUUCCUCCGAAAAUCUUUGAACCUAUUGAUUUGAUUGCUGGAAUCACUGGCAUUGUUUACCUGGACCGUCACCGGGAUUCUGUUAGUGCUGAUUGUGGCUAAGUACGCCCCACUCUCUUCAAAAAGAUCCUCAUCUGGAUCGAAAGAUGGCGAGCUAGGAAUGGACUAUGGACUUCAUGAUUUGGAAAUCAAUUUAUUCUGAGUCAAUUCUCGUGUGUCUCAUUGUGUUGUUGCAAUUGUAUGUUUUUU